ACACUGCUGAGGAGUCCCACAACAGGACGAAACGGCCGUCCAGUGC
Molecule: non-coding RNA, 46 nt
Organism: Schistosoma rodhaini
Lineage: Eukaryota; Metazoa; Platyhelminthes; Trematoda; Strigeidida; Schistosomatidae
Source: Rfam